CAGAUCUGCUCCCUGGACAGCGCUGCCAUUGAGAGCCGGUACCAGCUGGACCAGAACGGGUCUCUGGACUUCAGGACCCCCAUGUUCUCCUACACGCUGCAUUUCUCAGGGAUGUGCCAGUUCAACAACGACCUCGGGACGACGAGGGCGGUGAGGAGGAUCCCCGACACCCGGAUACAACCGGUAAACAGCGGUCCGAGGUGGCAGUUCCUCGACGUCGGAGGAAGUUGGACGGAUUUCUCUAAAGUAA
Cololabis saira (Pacific saury) is the source of this 250-nucleotide long non-coding RNA. RefSeq lists it as uncharacterized. The transcript is spliced from 3 exons. The record is from RefSeq and is a predicted model, not a curated record. Lineage: Eukaryota; Metazoa; Chordata; Actinopteri; Beloniformes; Belonidae.